RNAcentral lists this ribosomal RNA (662 nucleotides) under uncultured Planctomycetota bacterium. Its description in RNAcentral is "bacterial SSU rRNA". It matches the Rfam family "Bacterial small subunit ribosomal RNA", at positions 627 to 1278 of the family's 1533-position model. Lineage: Bacteria; Pseudomonadati; Planctomycetota. The record is from RNAcentral.
CUGAAACUACGAAUCUUGAGUGUAGGAGGGGAGAAUGGAACUUCUGGUGGAGCGGUGAAAUGCGUAGAUAUCAGAAGGAACGCCGGCGGCGAAAGCGAUUCCCUGGCCUAUUACUGACACUCAGUGUGCGAAAGCUAGGGGAGCAAACGGGAUUAGAUACCCCGGUAGUCCUAGCCGUAAACGAUGGGCACUAAGUAGAGGGAAUUACCGAUGUUCUCUCUGCCGUAGCUAACGCAUUAAGUGCCCCGCCUGGGGAGUACGGCCGCAAGGCUAAAACUCAAAAGAAUUGACGGGGGCUCGCACAAGCGGUGGAGCAUGUGGCUUAAUUCGAUGCAACGCGAAGAACCUUACCGGGGCUUGACAUGGUAGAAGUAGGAACCCGAAAGGGUAACGAACGGUAUCCAGUCCGUAACUAUCACAGGUGUUGCAUGGCUGUCGUCAGCUCGUGUCGUGAGACGUUGGGUUAAGUCCCCUAACGAGCGAAACCCUUGUUUUUAGUUACCAGUGGGUUAUGCCGGGUACUCUAGAAAGACUGCCGUCGUCAAGACGGAGGAAGGUGGGGAUGACGUCAAGUCAUCAUGGCCCUUAUGCCCCGGGCUGCACACGUGCUACAAUGGUCGGUACAAACGGAAGCGAAGCCGAGAGGUGAAGCGAAUCCAAGC